CUGAUGCCCACAGCGGGUAGGUGGGAACCCUCGCCGGGUUCGAGCAGGGCAGCUUGCUGCGAUGAGCGGCCGCAGGCAGCCCCGAAGGGGUGAGCCACGCAGUGGCGAAGGAUCCUUCCCUCAUCGCCA
RNAcentral lists this small RNA (129 nucleotides) under Aeromonas hydrophila. Its description in RNAcentral is "RtT sRNA". It matches the Rfam family "RtT RNA". Rfam says of the family: This family represents a bacterial cis-regulatory element known as RtT RNA. The exact function of RtT is unknown although it is thought that it may be involved in changing the cellular response in relation to amino acid starvation. The record is from RNAcentral. Lineage: Bacteria; Pseudomonadati; Pseudomonadota; Gammaproteobacteria; Aeromonadales; Aeromonadaceae. RNAcentral also lists the same sequence under 1 other name.